RNAcentral lists this ribosomal RNA (460 nucleotides) under uncultured bacterium. RNAcentral describes it as "partial 16S ribosomal RNA". It matches the Rfam family "Bacterial small subunit ribosomal RNA", at positions 338 to 795 of the family's 1533-position model. The record is from RNAcentral.
CCUACGGGCGGCAGCAGUGGGGAAUAUUGCACAAUGGGGGAAACCCUGAUGCAGCAACGCCGCGUGAAGGUCAGUGCCCUAUGGGCGUUAAACUUCUUUUGUGCGGGAGCAAUAAUGGUCACGUGUGGCCAGACGAGAGUACCGUACGAAUAAGCAUCGGCUCACUCCGUGCCAGCAGCCGCGGUAAUACGUGGGAUGCAAGCGUUAUCCGGAUUUAUUGGGUUUAAAGGGUGCGUAGGCUGUGAGGUAAGUCAGCGGUGAAAUGCCCCCGCUCAACGGGGUGAAGUGCCAUUGAUACUGCCGUGCUGGAAUGCGGAUGCCGUGGGAGGAAUGUGUGGUGUAGCGGUGAAAUGCAUAGAUAUCACACAGAACACCGAUUGCGAAGGCAUCUCACGAAGCCGCGAUUGACGCUGAUGCACGAAAGCGUGGGUAUCAAACAGGAUUAGAUACCCCAGUAGUC